This 1311-nucleotide long non-coding RNA is filed under the name Oncorhynchus kisutch (coho salmon). RNAcentral describes it as "lncRNA (ENSOKIG00005039123.1)". The record is from RNAcentral. Lineage: Eukaryota; Metazoa; Chordata; Actinopteri; Salmoniformes; Salmonidae.
AUGACUGGUUUUCCUGCCCCUCUACGUACAGCCUGUCUUCCCGGCACAACACCACUCUACGUACAGCCUGUCUUCCCGGCACAACACCCCUCAACGUACAGCCUGUCUUCCCGGCACAACACCACUCUACGUACAGCCUGUCUUCCCGGCACAACACCCCUCUACGUACAGCCUGUCUUCCCGGCACAACACCCCUAUACGUACAGCCUGUCUUCCCGGCACAACACCCCUCUACGUACAGCCUGUCUUCCCGGCACAACACCCCUCUACGUACAGCCUGUCUUCCCGGCACAACACCCCUCUACGUACAGCCUGUCUUCCCUUCACAACGCCCCUCUACGUACAGCCUGUCUUCCCGGCACAACACCCCUCUACGUACAGCCUGUCUUCCCGGCACAACACCCCACUACGUACAGCCUGUCUUCCCGACACAACACCCCUCUACGUACAGCCUGUCUUCCCGGCACAACACCCCUCUACGUACAGCCUGUCUUCCCUUCACAACGCCCCUCUACGUACAGCCUGUCUUCCCGGCACAACACCCCUCUACGUACAGCCUGUCUUCCCGGCACAACACCCCUCUACGUACAGCCUGUCUUCCCGGCACAACACCCCUCUACGUACAGCCUGUCUUCCCGGCACAACACCCCUCUACGUACAGCCUGUCUUCCCGGCACAACACCCCUAUACGUACAGCCUGUCUUCCCGGCACAACACCCCUAUACGUACAGCCUGUCUUCCCGGCACAACACCCCUAUACGUACAGCCUGUCUUCCCUUCACAACGCCCCUCUACGUACAGCCUGUCUUCCCGGCACAACGCCCCUCUACGUACAGCCUGUCUUCCCGGCACAACACCCCUAUACGUACAGCCUGUCUUCCCGGCACAACACCCCUAUACGUACAGCCCGUCUUCCCGGCACAACACCCCUCUACGUACAGCCCGUCUUCCCGGCACAACACCCCUAUACGUACAGCCCGUCUUCCCGGCACAACACCCCUCUACGUACAGCCCGUCUUCCCGGCACAACACCCCUCUACGUACAGCCUGUCUUCCCGGCACAACACCCCUCUACGUACAGCCUGUCUUCCCGGCACAACACCCCUCUACGUACAGCCUGUCUUCCCGGCACAACACCCCACUACGUACAGCCUGUCUUCCCGGCACAACACCCCACUACGUACAGCCUGUCUUCCCGGCACAACACCCCUCUACGUACAGCCUGUCUUCCCGGCACAACACCCCACUACGUACAGCCUGUCUUCCCGGCACAACACCCCACUACGUACAGCAUAUAGAUAUAUUAAUUGA